AAGAAGACACAUUUUGUAAUCACAACUCACAACACAACAGUAAUUUCUCCUAUUGAUAUGUAAAAAAUGUAACAAUCAUUAAACAUAAUAUAAUUCAAAAUAAAUUCCCUGUAGCAAUAUUUCUUGCGUUGAUGCAAAAUGCUUUUUGAGAAAUUGCCAGAGGUUAAAACGUGUUGUUGCUGUUUGCCCCUAAAAUUAGGAGUUGUAUUAAUUGCUUCAUAUUUCAUAAUUCUCAGCCUACUGGAACACGGUGUGAACGUACAAGUAAACGAUCUGUCUAACGAAUCCUGCUACGCCUCCAUGUAUGGUAUCGAAUGCCGGUAUAAAUACACGAUGCAGUACUUGGUCUACCUUGUGUAUUUCCAGGCUUUCAUGGCGUUCCUGCCGAGUUUUUUUCUUAUUAUGGCUGUAAUUAUUAAAAAUCGCGUAAUAGUCACUUGUUUCAUGUAUUUCAUCACACUUGCUGUGGUCAUCGACUUCGCUAUAGACAUGGCGAUGUUGACGUUCAACGUGACAGAACCCGCUUGUAGGACUCACGAUAAAACCAUAAUUUUUCAAUGUGUUUCUGUACACGUUUUAGUUUGGAUUCUUUUUAUAUACUUUACAAUAGUAGUAAAAAGUUAUAGAACAUCGAUAAAAGAAUAUCACUCACGUCACGACGUAACCGAUAGCCACGGAAAUAAAAUACUAACAGAUAAAAAUGACAACAUAGCUAAAUAUGGAAGAAUUAAAGUAACCAGAAUAUAUAGUAACGAUUUAAAUACAGAAAGUGCGCUCAAGAGUGAUGAGAAUAAAGAUGAUGAGAAUAAAAGUAAUACAAAAAGGAAAAAAUCUACUCAAAUCGCCCCACAUUUUUACAAAACUAGUAAAAAUGUUUACAACCUACGUAUCAGUUCUAACAGAGCUACAGAUGAGGAAGAAAAUAACAAUUCUGUAACAGAUGAUAGUAAAUCCAAAAAGAAUAUCCG
Long non-coding RNA from Plodia interpunctella (Indianmeal moth), 968 nucleotides. RefSeq lists it as uncharacterized. The record is from RefSeq and is a predicted model, not a curated record. The transcript has 4 exons. NCBI's taxonomy places the organism in Eukaryota, Metazoa, Arthropoda, Insecta, Lepidoptera, Pyralidae.